GCUUGUCUCAAAGAUUAAGCCAUGCAUGUCUAAGUAUAAGCUGCUUAUACUGUGAAACUGCGAAUGGCUCAUUAAAUCAGUUAUAGUUUAUUUGAUGGUACCUUACUACUCGGAUAACCGUAGUAAACCUAGAGCUAAUACGUGCGUAAAUCCCGACUUCCGGAAGGGACGUAUUUAUUAGAUAAAAGACCGACCGGCUUCGGCCGACCCUCGGUGAAUCAUGAUAACUGAGCGAAUCGUAUGGCCUCGCGCCGACGAUGGUUCAUUCAAGUUUCUGCCCUAUCAGCUUUCGAUGGUAGGGUAUUGGCCUACCAUGGCAUUGACGGGUAACGGAGAAUUAGGGUUCGAUUCCGGAGAGGGAGCCUGAGAAACGGCUACCACAUCCAAGGAAGGCAGCAGG
RNAcentral lists this ribosomal RNA (400 nucleotides) under uncultured Chlorellales. Its description in RNAcentral is "partial small subunit ribosomal RNA". It matches the Rfam family "Eukaryotic small subunit ribosomal RNA", at positions 30 to 432 of the family's 1831-position model. The record is from RNAcentral. Lineage: Eukaryota; Viridiplantae; Chlorophyta; Trebouxiophyceae.